GCGGCCAUGGGGACCGCCUCGUCGCUGGUGAGCCCCGCGGGCGGGGAGGUGAUCGAGGACACGUACGGGGCGGGCGGCGGCGAGGCCUGCGAGAUCCCGGUGGAGGUGCGGCCCAAGGCCCGCCUGCUGCGCGGCUCCCUCCGGCGCGGCGCGGGGGCGGCGGGCGCGGGCCCGGGGGCGGCGGCGCGCGGGCCGGGCGGCGCGGGGCUGCUGGGCGCGAGCUUCCGCUCCACCGGCUCGGCGGGCCCCGAGCUGGAGUGCGCGGCGGCCGAGUACGAGCGGCUGCGGAAGGAGUACGACAUCUUCCGGGUCAGCAAGAACCAGGAGCUGCUGUCCAUGGGCCGGCGCGAGGCCAAGCUGGACUCGGAGAACAAGCGGCUGCGCGCCGAGCUGCAGGCACUUCAAAAAACUUACCAGAAGAUACUUCGGGAAAAGGAAAGUGCUUUAGAAGCCAAAUACCAAGCAAUGGAGAGAGCAGCUACAUUCGAACAUGACAGAGAUAAAGUGAAAAGACAAUUCAAGAUUUUUAGGGAGACCAAGGAAAAUGAAAUCCAGGACUUACUGAGGGCCAAGCGAGAGUUGGAGAGCAAACUUCAGAGGCUGCAGGCUCAAGGGAUCCAAGUGUUUGACCCUGGGGAGUCUGAUUCAGACGACAACUGUACAGAUGUUACUGCUGCUGGAACCCAGUGUGAAUAUUGGGCUGGAGGCGCCCUGGGAAGUGAGCCAUCCCUAGGAAGUAUGAUCCAGCUUCAGCAGUCCUUCCGGGGCCCUGAGUUCGCCCAUAGUUCUAUAGAUGUGGAAGGACCCUUUACAAAUGUCAACAGAGACGAUUGGGAUAUCGCUGUAGCUAGUUUAUUACAAGUUACUCCACUGUUUUCGCAUUCUCUGUGGAGCAACACGGUCAAAUGUUACCUCAUUUAUACAGAUGAAACCCAGCCUGAAAUGGAUCUUUUCCUUAAGGACUAUUCACCUAAACUUAAAAGAAUGUGCGAGACAAUGGGAUAUUUUUUCCAUGCUGUAUAUUUUCCAGUAGAUGUUGAGAAUCAAUACCUCACUGUAAGAAAAUGGGAAAUUGAGAAGAGUUCAUUAGUUAUUUUAUUCAUUCAUUUAGCUUUACCAAGCCUUUUAUUGGAAGACUGUGAAGAAGCUUUUCUGAAAAACCCUGAAGGCAAACCACGAUUAAUUUAUCAUCGUUUGGAGGACGGGGAAGUCAGUUCCGACUCUGUCCGGCAAUUGAUUGACCAAGUCUCUAACCUGAACGCUGCCAACAAAGCCAAGAUCAUUGAUCACUCAGGAGAUCCUGUAGAAGGAGUUUAUAAAACUUAUAUUUAUGUGGAGAAGAUUAUUAAACAGGACAUCCUGGGCUUUGAGAACACAGACCUGGAAAUGAAGGAUGUGGGCAGUGAAGAUUCUGUUCCAGAAGAAGAUGAUUUAGGUGACGUUUUGUGGGACAUACAUGAUGAACAAGAGCAAACGGAGACUUUUCAACAGGCCUCGAAUUUAUCCCAGGAGUUGGGAUUUGAGAAAUAUUACCAGCGCCUUAAUGACCUAGUGGCGGCUCCAGCUCCGAUUCCACCCCUUCUUGUAUCUGGAGGACCAGGUUCUGGAAAGUCCCUUCUUUUAUCAAAGUGGAUUCAGUUACAACAGAAGAAUUCCCCUAAUACCCUAAUUCUUUCUCAUUUUGUGGGGAGGCCCCUGUCAACCAGCUCCGAGUCUUCCUUGAUCAUUAAACGAUUAACGCUAAAGUUGAUGCAGCACUCUUGGUCGGUGUCUGCUCUGACACUGGAUCCUGCUAAGCUUCUAGAAGAGUUUCCACGUUGGCUAGAAAAACUGUCUGCCCGUCAUCAAGGCAGUAUCAUUAUCAUUAUUGAUUCUAUAGAUCAAGUUCAGCAAGUUGAAAAGCACAUGAAAUGGCUGAUAGACCCCCUGCCAGUGAAUGUGAGAGUAAUUGUGUCUGUGAACGUAGAAACAUGCCCUCCAGCUUGGAGGUUGUGGCCAACACUUCAUCUUGAUCCAUUAAAUCCGAACGAUGCAAAAUCAAUUAUAAUUGCAGAAUGCCAUUCUAUAGACAUUAAAUUGAAUAAAGAGCAGGAGAAGAAGCUAGAACGGCACUGUCGUUCUGCUACCACCUGCAAUGCCCUUUAUGUCACGCUUUUCGGCAAAAUGAUUGCACGCAGUGCCGGGAAAGCCGGGAACUUGGAUAAAAUCCUUCAGCAGUGUUUCCAGAGUCAGGACACCAUUUCACUGUAUAGACUUGUCCUGCGGUCUGUCCAGGACUCACUGGGCAACGAUCGGGAGAAGGAGCUGAUGAAGCAGAUUCUGUGCCUUGUGAAUGUUAGUCACAACGGAGUGAGUGAGUCAGAAUUGAUGGAACUCUAUCCUGACAUGUCCUGGGCUGUCUUGACCUCUCUUAUUCACAGUUUACACAAAAUGGGUUUGUUGACUUAUGGGUGUGGCUUGCUGAAGUUUCAACAUCUGCAGGCUUGGGAAGCAGUGAGACUGGAGUACCUGGAAGGUCCCCCCAUUAUUUCUUCAUAUAGGCAAAAGCUAAUCAAUUACUUCACCGUGCAGCUCAGUCAGGACCGAGUGACCUGGAGGGGCGCAGAUGAGCUCCCCUGGCUUUUCCAGCAGCAGGGAAGUAAACAGAAGCUGCACGAUUGCCUUCUCAACCUCUUCGUGUCUCAAAACCUUUAUAAAAGAGGACACUUUGCUGAGUUGCUGAGUUACUGGCAGUUUGUUGGCAAAGACAAGGGCGCCAUGGCCGCAGAGUACUUUGAUUCCCUGAAACAGUACGAGAAAGACUGUGAGGGCGAGGAGAACAUGCUCUGCUUAGCCGACCUCUACGAAACCCUGGGGCGGUUUCUCAAGGAUCUUGGCCUUCUCAGUCAGGCUGUGGUGCCUUUGCAGAGAUCUCUAGAAAUUCGAGAAACAGCUUUAGAUCCUGAUCACCCAAGAGUGGCCCAGUCCCUCCACCAACUCGCAAGUGUGUACGUGCAGUGGAAGAAGUUCGGCAACGCAGAGCAGCUGUAUAAACAGGCCCUGGAAAUCUCAGAAAAUGCUUACGGUGCAGACCAUCCACAUAUUGCUCGUGAACUUGAGGCCCUUGCAACUUUGUACCAGAAACAAAAUAAAUAUGAACAAGCUGAACAUUUUAGGAAAAAAUCCUUUAAAAUUCGUCAGAAAGAAACAAGGAGAAAAGGCAACUUGUAUGGAUUUGCCCUUUUACGUAGACGGGCCUUGCAGUUGGAAGAACUUACAUUAGGUAAAGACACACCUGACAAUGCUCGGACCCUCAAUGAACUGGGUGUUCUCUACUAUCUGCAGAAUAACCUGGAAACAGCGGACCAGUUUCUGAAGCGUUCCUUAGAAAUGAGGGAGCGAGUUCUGGGCCCAGAUCACCCCGACUGUGCCCAGUCUUUGAAUAAUCUGGCUGCUCUCUGCAAUGAAAAGAAGCAGUAUGGGAAAGCAGAAGAACUUUAUGAAAGAGCCUUAGACAUUCGGAGAAGAGCUCUAGCUCCUGACCACCCUUCUUUGGCUUAUACUGUGAAGCAUCUCGCAAUCCUAUAUAAGAAAAUGGGGAAGCUUGACAAAGCUGUACCUUUGUAUGAGCUGGCGGUUGAAAUUCGGCAGAAAUCCUUUGGCCCAAAGCACCCUAGUGUAGCUACUGCCUUGGUGAACCUAGCGGUUCUCUAUAGCCAAAUGAAAAAACACAUUGAAGCCUUGCCAUUAUAUGAAAGAGCAUUAAAGAUUUAUGAAGACAGCCUGGGCCGGAUGCAUCCUCGAGUUGGAGAAACAUUAAAAAAUUUAGCUGUGCUUAGUUAUGAAGAAGGGGAUUUUGAAAAAGCUGCUGAGCUAUACAAAAGGGCAAUGGAAAUAAAAGAAGCAGAAGCCUCACUUUUGGGUGGAAAAGCUCCUUCUCGACACUCAAGUGGAGACACCUUUAGCUUAAAAACCCAUUCUCCUAAUGUUUUCCUUCACCAAGGACAAAGCAGUAGCCUGGCCCAAUUCUCUACCUCAAAGAAAAGUUUCGAGGAAUAAAGGGAUCGUGUUUAUGCAAGGCUUGCCUGUCUCCUGUAAAUGAGCUCAUAAAAGGUUGACUUAUACCUUGUAUUCUUCCUGCUGCUUCCUGCAAUUUCUGUCAUCACACUGUGGAUUUGGCUUCAUGGACAUAGUAGGGAAAAAAUCCUGCAUUGCAUUGUAUCCAAGAGUCUUUUCGUCAAUAUUUGCAGCAACCACAAGUGGAGGAGCACACUGCAUGAGAAAGAAAAAAAGGCAUUUCAAAGGAAAGGGAGAAAAGUAGAUGUUUCAAAUAGCAUUUCUUCACAGUCCAGUUCUCCCUGUUGGCAUGAGCAAGAGUAGGACAGGAGUGCAUACCACCGCCAGCAAGGCCAACAGGCCCCCGCGCUAUGGAGUGAGCAGGUCCCUAUACGACAGGCAAAGAGAAAUGCUUUACCUUCCCGAUGCCACAUCUUGUCAGCAUUUCAGCAGUCACGCUGCCGACUCCACCCACACCUACCACUGCCACGGCAAAGGUGCGGAU
RNA transcript from Talpa occidentalis (Iberian mole), 4540 nucleotides. It is a transcript of the gene named nephrocystin 3, with no coding region annotated. The record is from RefSeq and is a predicted model, not a curated record. The transcript has 32 exons. Lineage: Eukaryota; Metazoa; Chordata; Mammalia; Eulipotyphla; Talpidae.